CCUACGGGGGGCAGCAGUGAGGAAUAUUGGUCAAUGGACGAGAGUCUGAACCAGCCAAGUAGCGUGAAGGAUGACUGCCCUAUGGGUUGUAAACUUCUUUUAUAAAGGAAUAAAACGAGGCACGUGUGCCUUUUUGCAUGUACUUUAUGAAUAAGGAUCGGCUAACUCCGUGCCAGCAGCCGCGGUAAUACGGAGGAUCCGAGCGUUAUCCGGAUUUAUUGGGUUUAAAGGGCGCGUAGAUGGGUUGUUAAGUCAGUUGUGAAAGUUUGCGGCUCAACCGUAAAAUUGCAAUUGAUACUGGCAGUCUUGAGUACAGUUGAGGUAGGCGGAAUUCGUGGUGUAGCGGUGAAAGGCUUAGAUAGCACGAAGAACCCCGAUUGCGAAGGCAGCUUACUAAACUGUGACUGACAUUGAUGCUCGAAAGUGUGGGUAUCAAACAGGAUUAGAUACCCCGGUAGUC
This 460-nucleotide ribosomal RNA is filed under the name uncultured bacterium. Its description in RNAcentral is "partial 16S ribosomal RNA". It matches the Rfam family "Bacterial small subunit ribosomal RNA", at positions 338 to 795 of the family's 1533-position model. The record is from RNAcentral.